AUACGGAGGGUCCAAGCGUUAUCCGGAAUCAUUGGGUUUAAAGGGUUCGCAGGCGGUUCAUUAAGUCAGUGGUGAAAUCUCUCGGCUCAACCGAGAAACUGCCAUUGAUACUGAUGGACUUGAAUAUAGUUGGAGUAGGCGGAAUGUGUAGUGUAGCGGUGAAAUGCUUAGAUAUUACACAGAACACCGAUAGCGAAGGCAGCUUACUAAACUAUUAUUGACACUCAUGAACGAAAGCGUGGGGAGCGAACAGGAUUAGAAACCCUAGUAGUCC
RNAcentral lists this ribosomal RNA (274 nucleotides) under uncultured bacterium. RNAcentral describes it as "partial 16S ribosomal RNA". It matches the Rfam family "Bacterial small subunit ribosomal RNA", at positions 523 to 796 of the family's 1533-position model. The record is from RNAcentral.